RNAcentral lists this ribosomal RNA (429 nucleotides) under Verrucomicrobiota bacterium. RNAcentral describes it as "Verrucomicrobia bacterium partial 16S ribosomal RNA". It matches the Rfam family "Bacterial small subunit ribosomal RNA", at positions 355 to 776 of the family's 1533-position model. The record is from RNAcentral. Lineage: Bacteria; Pseudomonadati; Verrucomicrobiota.
UGGGGAAUCUUCCGCAAUGGGCGAAAGCCUGACGGAGCAACGCCGCGUGAGUGAAGACGGCCUUCGGGUUGUAAAACUCUGUGAUUCGGGACGAAAGAUAAGCAGACGAAUAAUCUGCAUAAGUGACGGUACCGAAAAAGCAAGCCACGGCUAACUACGUGCCAGCAGCCGCGGUAAUACGUAGGUGGCAAGCGUUGUCCGGAAUUAUUGGGCGUAAAGCGCGCGCAGGCGGCUACUUAAGUCCAUCUUAAAAGUGCGGGGCUUAACCCCGUGAUGGGAUGGAAACUGAGAAGCUGGAGUGUCGGGGAGGAAAGUGGAAUUCCUAGUGUAGCAGUGAAAUGCGUAGAGAUUAGGAAGAACACCGGUGGCGAAGGCGACUUUCUGGACGACAACUGACGCUUAGGCGCGAAAGCGUGGGGAGCGAACAGG